Molecule: long non-coding RNA, 3437 nt
Organism: Manis pentadactyla (Chinese pangolin)
Lineage: Eukaryota; Metazoa; Chordata; Mammalia; Pholidota; Manidae
Exons: 3
Source: RefSeq, a predicted model, not a curated record
GGAAAUACUUCUUCCUCUGACCCCUUUCCGUAAACUUUUACUUCCGGGGUCCGAAAAGCCUUAAAGAAACAUGUAGAAUACCUUGUGAGCUUUGGCCUUUCAAGGUGCUAAAGCUUAGGCUUGAGGAAAGCUUUAUGGGGCUUGCCAGCUAUGUGAACCGUAAAAUGAUGAGUAUGUAGAAUCCUUUAUUUAGCGUUUACAUGUGCUGAGCCAUUAAAAUAUUGAAACAAAACAGUCUUUGCUGUAUAGAGUUUACAUUCUACUGGAGAGAGACCUAAAAUGAGCUCACAAAUAAAUAGUGUGGUGAGCUAUAAAGAAAUCCACCAUAUGGGAAAAUUAGAACAGGAUAAAAAGAGGAUGAGAGGGUAGAGGGGCAGGUUGCAGCUUUUAAAUAGGAUUCUCAGAGUAGGCUUCAUUGAAAAAGUUACAUUGCACAAAGAUUUCAAGAAGGUGAAGGGGUAAGCUAUGCAGUUUUCUGGGGGAAGAGCUACUAAUCUGAGAAAAACUGAUUAGGAGAAAAGCUGGUCAAGCAAAGGAAACAUACAGCCCCAAGGCUCUUAGUAGCAAGCCUGGCAUGUUUAGUAAACAGUAAUAGAGGCCAAGAGUCAUAUGCAAAAGGAGAAGAAUGGGUUAGGAGUGACAUUGUGUAGGAGUUUGUAAAUAUUUGGUUUUUAUUUUUUGUGAGAUGCAGAUUUGAAUGAUUUUGAAAGAAAUGACAAGAUCAGACAGCUUGAAAGCAUCAUUUAGACUGGAGAAAACAUUAGAGGAAGGAAAGUGAAAGGAGGGGAGAAAUGAUAGUGACUUGAAGCAGAGUGGUUCUAAUGGAGGUGGUGAGAAGUGAUCAGAUUCUUUUGCAGAGUCCUGAUGACUGAAUGAAGUGCAUGAGAGAAAGAGUCAAGGAUGACCUCAAGACUUCUGAACUGAGCAACUGGAAGUUUGAAGGAUGGAGUUACCAUCAGUUGAGAUGGUAGAAACUUCAGGUGGAGCAAAUUUGAAGGUUUGAAUGUCUUUCACCCAUGCAUGAUUUUGUAACAUCAUGUAUUCACUGAGUUAUGUGUAUUUUCCAAAAGUUGACACAUUUCUUUAAACAAUAUCACAAAACCAAAUUUGUUAAAAUUGCUGCUAAUCUCAUCAGGAAAGUCCUUCAUUUAUGGUAAGCUGUGAAACUUACAGUGGUGAGUAGAAGUUUUCUGAAUUUCUGAUUUUCACUUGAAUAGGGUCUUUCUUGCCUCCAGGUUACCUGUGGCAGUGCCCAUAAGGCAGUGCAGGAGGUAGAAGCAAGGAUUAAGGGGAGUUCUGGGUGGUGAGGACCUCUUGUUGAUGAACUUUCCAGGGCUGUUUUUCAGACUAGGCCAUAUCUGUUACUUUCUUUCACACUUGGAUCCCUGAAUACUGGCUUACUUUUCCAUUAUAACCAUUAGUCAGCAAGAGCAACCGUAUCACAAACCCUGAGUAUAUUCUGAGAGUCUACUUUCAGAGGCAAUCUGAGGGGGUUCUUUCUGGGGGUGCUUCUGCCCUGCUCAUUUGUGCAGGAUGCAAGUUACCAUCAUACCAUACGAUGGAUCCUAAGGCAGCGUCUUGGGAGAACCGAAAUUUAUGUUAUUUGUUGCUUAUGGUUAAGCUUUUUUCUUCUUUUCUGGCCCACUAUGGAAAGGAAUGCAUUCUUAAAGCCUCUCCUCUUCUUGAGGCAGUCAACAAACCUUUUCAAUUUUUCUGAAGUUUCCUCCUUUUUUCCUAUAGCAACCCAAUGAAAUAAGAGAUAAAAAUUAUUUAUAUCUAAUAGGGAUGAUAAGGUCCUAUAUAAUGUUGGUCUUUGGUUCCAAAAAAUUAAAAGAAAGCUAAACUUCACUUAGGGGGAAUAACAGAAGUCAGUCGCUCCCCUGGAAUUUCCAUCACGAGAGCCAGGAGGGCCUCUGGGAGACAGAGAGUUAAGGAGAUAGAACAGUCUGAGGAACUGAACGUGUGUUUGUGAGAUCAGCAGUAGUGAUAUGGACAGAAACUACAGAAUUGGAUUACAUUCUUAUCCUCUGUAUUUUUCCCUAUAUCACUCUUACUAGAUUGAUGCUAUGGUACAAAAUGGUAUUAGGGAUAAAAAACCCCUUAGUAAGUGAUUGAGUUCCAAAAGUUUCCACCAUAUUCCGGCAUAUUACAGGAAGAUUUUUAAUUUAGUUUCCCUAUAAUUAGACCUCCUUUAUUCUAAAGACUAGAGUACAGGAUACAGAUUAGUGUACUACAAAAUUUUCCUUAGUCAAAGGCACUAUUUCUAUGACAGAGACAUGCUAUAAAGUACUAGUAUUCUCCAGGAAUCGUGGAUGCUGGAAUAUCUUAUAUUUGCUAAAAUCUUCAAAAAGCCUAUAUAUCUAUGUGAAGUAUGAUCUGUGGAGCAGCAGCAAUGACAUCUUGAUAGAUACUUGAAUGGAAGCUUGAUAGAAAUGCAGAAUCUACUGAAAGAGCCCCAGGUGAUUCAUAAAACACAUUAAAGUUUAAGAAACACUGCUGAAGAUGUGUGUUACAUCCCUCACCCCUAUUAAUUUUAUUGAUCAAUUGGUGGUCUUAUUUCAGGCCAAAAAUUUAUGGCUGGUUUAUAAUGAUAUUUUAUUUUGCUAAAAACAGUAUUUUAUUAUUUUUAAAUGAUUGCAUUGCUUGAAGGGAGGACAAACUGUUGGGAACUAUUGUGGAGUUCUCAUUUAUUUUUUAACAUUUAUAUAAUAUUUGUAUAAUAUUUAUGUAAUACUAUAUAAUUUAUGUAACACUAACAUUUAUUUUCUAACUUAGUCCUUGUACAGACUUGGAAUAAGAUUAAGCAGAUACUUAUCUGACAGGUAAGCAACAUAUGAAUCCAGACACCUAUGAUUAUAUCUUGUCAGAAAAAAAUGGCUAGCCUUUCCCUUCAGGCAACUAUCAACAAAAUUGAUUCUCAUAGUGCUAGGACCAGCAGCAUUCACAUAACCUGGCAACUUGUGAGAAGUGAAGAUGUCUGGGACUCAGAAAUCAGUGUUUUAACAAGCUCUGCACAUGAUCCCGAUGCACACCCGCAUUGGAGACCCACUGGUCUUGAAUCAUUAUUACCUUCUGAUACAUAAAAGUAGACCAUUUAAAGAUUUGUUUCUCUGGAGUUUAUGAAAUGGUUGAUUUUUGAAUCUCAGCUAUACAACAUAAGGUCUCCUCCUGCUAAAUGCAAUGUGGUAUAUGAAUUGAAUCCUGGAAUUUAAAAAAGACAUUUGUGGAAAAAGAAUGAAAUCUGAAUAAAGUCCAAAGUUCAGUUAAUAGUAAUGUAGCAAUAUUGGUUCUUAGUUUGAAAAAUGUAAUGGCAAUCUUGAAAAAUGUAUGGCAAUGUAAAAUGUUAACAUUAGGGAAACAGUGUGAGGGUAUAUAGGAACUCUAUUAUUUUUGCAACAUGUCUCUAAAUCUAAAAUUAUUCCAAAAUAAAAAAUUUC